UACGUAGGGGGCAAGCGUUGUCCGGGUUUAUUGGGCGUAAAGAGCGUGUAGGCGGCUAGAUAGGUCCGUUGUGAAAACUCGAGGCUCAACCUCGAGACGUCGAUGGAAACCAUCUGGCUAGAGUCCGGAAGAGGAGAGUGGAAUUCCUGGUGUAGCGGUGAAAUGCGCAGAUAUCAGGAAGAACACCCGCGGCGAAGGCGGCUCUCUGGUACGUGACUGACGCUGAGACGCGAAAGCGUGGGGAGCAAACAGG
Molecule: ribosomal RNA, 253 nt
Filed under: uncultured bacterium
Lineage: Bacteria
Description: partial 16S ribosomal RNA
Rfam family: Bacterial small subunit ribosomal RNA
Source: RNAcentral